AGCCCUAAGUGGGUGGUAAACUCCAUCUAAGGCUAAAUAUGACCACGAGACCGAUAGCGAACAAGUACCGUGAGGGAAAGUUGAAAAGCACUUUGAAGAGAGAGUUCAAGAGUACGUGAAACCGUUUAGGGGUAAACCUGAGAAACCCGAAAGGUCGAAGGAAGAAAUUCAUUCGCGUUUCGUCGCAGGCGUCGAGCGGGAUCGUGUGACGGGAAACGUUCGCGUUUUCCGCGCCUUCCGUUCUUCGAACCGGCGAUGAACGCGUGCACUUUUCUUCUGGUAGGACGUCGCGAUCCGUUGGGUGUCGGUCUACGGCUCGCGGUGGAGCCCGUUCGUCGUAUUUUUCGUACGUACGGACGGACCCGCGUGUCCCGGCUGACUCGCUCGACGGUAUACGAAAGGUUUAAGGCCGCUCUCGGAGCGUUCGGCUCGUGGCAAGCGCGCCAGAUGUGUCGGCGAUCGGACCUAGUGCCGAUUCUGACCUCUGGUGACUGUUGGCCGCGAAGUUCUCGAACAGACCUUAAAACCGAUCUGCGACGCUAUAGCUUUGGGUACUUUCAG
RNAcentral lists this ribosomal RNA (561 nucleotides) under Larinus jaceae. RNAcentral's name for it is "partial 28S ribosomal RNA". It matches the Rfam family "Eukaryotic large subunit ribosomal RNA", at positions 284 to 645 of the family's 3401-position model. Lineage: Eukaryota; Metazoa; Arthropoda; Insecta; Coleoptera; Curculionidae. The record is from RNAcentral.